UGGUUGGACGAAAUAUUAACUGUUUCAUAUAAAUUUUUAUUAGAAUUUUAUUUUUUAGUUAAAAAGCUAAAAUUUAUUUAAAAGACGAGAAGACCCUAUAAAUCUUUAUAUUUAAUAUUUUUAUAUUUUUGUAGAUUUAUUUUAUUAUAAUAAUUAAUAAUAUUUUAUUGGGGUGAUAUUAAAAUUUACAAAACUUUUAAUUUUAAAAAUCAUUAAUUUAUGAAUAUUUGAUCCAUUAUUAGUGAUUAAAAAUUUAAGUUACUUUAGGGAUAACAGCGUAAUUUUUUUGGAGAGUUCUUAUUAAUAAAAAAGAUUGCGACCUCGAUGUUGGAUUAAGAUAUAAUUUUAGGUGUAGUUGCUUAAAUUU
RNAcentral lists this ribosomal RNA (367 nucleotides) under Gymnocheta viridis. RNAcentral's name for it is "partial 16S ribosomal RNA". The record is from RNAcentral. Lineage: Eukaryota; Metazoa; Arthropoda; Insecta; Diptera; Tachinidae.